Aethalodelphis obliquidens (Pacific white-sided dolphin) is the source of this 4957-nucleotide long non-coding RNA. RefSeq lists it as uncharacterized. NCBI's taxonomy places the organism in Eukaryota, Metazoa, Chordata, Mammalia, Artiodactyla, Delphinidae. The record is from RefSeq and is a predicted model, not a curated record. The transcript is spliced from 3 exons.
UGAAUAGGUAAGAACAUCACAUGAUUAGCACAAUGGUAAGUAAAAUACAUAUGCUGACUCCCCAAAGUAUCUCACAACUAGAUUAAACACCCCUCCUGCAACGCAUUCUCACUGAACCUUUCUUUCCUCCAUGGGGCAGGGGGUGGGGGUGGGGUGGGGGGAUGCUGGGACCUCACUGGCCCCAUUAGAGGUGAGCUAGCCAAGAUCCUGAUGAGAGCUGACUCUGCCCACCUUCCUGCCCUGAACCCUGACUACAGAAGUUUGCGUAGCCACCAUCACCACCCAGCUCUCCCACUUUCCUGUCCCCAGCCAUGUCAGCCAAGGAGACCGAGGCGGGUAACCUCAGGCCCAUGCUGUCCACACCCAGGCACUGUGCCUGAUCAUAUCUGACUCCCUGCCAGGAACGCUCAAGCUCACACACCUGCCUGCGGCUCUCAGUUCCCUGUUCAGGCUGCUCCCUCCCUGAUCCCUGCAGAGGGUGGAAGCUUCCCCCUGUGGACAGCAAUCCGUGCUGCAGCACCAGCAGGGCGCCCUUCCCUUCCCACCGCUGCUGCUGCCAUCUUAGAAGCACCGCAGACACCAGCUCACCUGCCCUUCACUCUACCUGACCCAGCCUCCACCCCCAAGAAGAGGCAUCAUUGCAAGACCGAGGGAUGAACUCAUACUUUUUAAUAAAGGAAUCUUCAAAUAGCCCUUGUAGCUAUUCCAUCAAUCCACUGGAGCACGAGCCACAGAGACGACUCAUUCACUAGGAAAACCACAAGAUCAGAGAAGAGGCUGCUGAGGCUGGGAGGAGAGAUGGCUUGUGUGGUCUCAGCCGCCACUGCCACCACCACCAAUGAAACAUCUACUCCCUCAGAGGGGCUGGCCCUGUGGGGCCUGCAAAGAGGAGAAGCCCACGUUGUUGGGCUGCCCUCCCUGCCUUGUGAAGGUGGGUGCUCUGAUGCCAUGUUCCUGUCCUCAGAUUGAACCCCAGAAGGCAAUAUCACAGAGUCCUAUGGACCCAGUGCUGAGCUGGGGCAAGAGCCCUCCUCUGAAUGCUGCUCUGAGUUGCUGGGCAACUGCUCCCCUUCUCUGACUCAGUGGUACAGGGGAAAGAGGUGGGAGGUCCCUUCCUGGGCAGGCUGAGGUACCCAGGUUUGUGGAUGCUGUCCUUCACUCUCCUCCCCCCGACUCCUGCAUCUACUCCCUUCUCCCCAUGCACAUACCCAUCCAGAGCCACAUCAGACCAGGAGCAACAGAGCCAGAGCAGGUGCACAGAGCCAGACAACCAUCCCCAGGAGCCCCUCAGCCCAGGCAUCUCAGCCUAGCCUCGUCCCACUCCUGUGGGCAGGGAGAACCCAGCUCAGGGACCUGGGCAAGGGGUAAGAUGGUGUCUCCUGCCCCAUUAUCCCUCUGUGGGGGUGGGGCAGGGAUGGAGGUGCCUUGGCUGCCUCUGACACAGCUCCUCUCCUUGGGUAAGAGCCUCUUUCUCUUCCGCAAGCCAAAGCCAACAAGCCAAUUAAACCCUGAGAAAGCAGAAUUGAUCUGCAGGCCAAGGGAUUACGUUGAUCUGCAGUGCUGGUACCCAGGGGGCCACGGCUGCCUCCCCCUCGAGCCUGGAGCUCCUUCUACUGCCAUCUUCAGCUGAGCAAUGAGCAAUCCUCCCCAUGCACAUCUCUGUCCUCCCGCACCCCUCCACCCCCGCCACACCCUGUCUGACUGCCUAUCCCCUCUCUGUUGGUCUGGGCUGAGCCUGAGGCCAUCUGUUCAGACCUAUUCAUUCACAUCACAGAAGUGCAGGUGAGGUGACAGCCAUGAAGCCUCUGUCCUUUGGGCGAUCUCUCUUCAUCUCAGUCAACCAGGGUAGGGGGCUACUGCUCUUGACCUCAGUUUGCAGUUGUGACCUGCAAGGACUCAGAGUACCCAGCACCCCAAGGGUUAACCGGUAGCAUUCCCCACACAGAGCGUGGGAGUGGGUGAACAUGAAGCUUAGGGAAGCUUCUCUGGUAAAUAAAAAAAGAGGAUGACUCGCAAUUACCAUAUCAAUUGUUUCUGGGUAAAUAGGUGCUGUCUAAGAGAUUUUUUAAAUAGAUUAUUCCUUUAAAUAGGUUAAGCACCCGUUGGCAGCCUCAUUUACAUUAUUCAUUUGCUGGGAAAUCCUUUUUUCGGGGAUGGUGCAGAAAUAAACUUCAGCCUCAGUCUGAAUUCCAUUCAGAGACUGGAUUAAUGUGGUUUGGGUACUUCCCUGCCAGCAAUGUACCAGGACAGGGGCUGCUCUGUGCUCUGGGCUGGGUGAGGGAAAUCCAGAACUGCUCUAGGGAGGAUAUGAACUCCCAGAAAGCAGUGAAGGAGCCAGUGCUUUAUUAUGGCUGUGAAACACCGAGAUGCAGUCAGGGAUCCAGGGGGAUACACGGGAGGGAGUACAUAGGAUUUCCAUAGGCAGAGAAGAGAGAGGGCAGACCCAGUGGAGGAAGAGCUUGAACAAAGGCUUUUAUAAACAGGACUGAAUAUGAUGCAUACAACUUCUUCGGCUCCGUCAAUCACCUCUGUCCCCUUCUCCCUCAUCAUCCGUCCUCCAGACAGAGCGAAAUGGGCUCCUCUCCCAGUAUUGCCAAGCCCACUCCACAAAUGCCCCAGGUCUGGAGUCCCUGGCCGCCAGCACAUUGUCUUGUAGGGCUGACCCAGAUCGUUCCAGCUGCAGUGGACGGGCGGACACUCAGAAGGGCAGCCUGGAUGGAGAUACCAAGGAAAUCAGCACCCUGGCCGUGACUCCCCGGUCACCAAAGCCCUCAGCGUGGUCACCCAAGGAGGCUGAGCUGGCUCUGCAACCUGGCCAGCUUCAGGUUCUCAGAAUGUUUGCUGAAGCUGUCACCAGUGAGCACGUGGACUUCAAAGUAAUUAUGAAAGCUAUAGGAACAAGAAGUAAUGCGUUCAUUCAUUAGCAACAAAUUACACUAAAUUAUCUUAGCAAAUAAGGCAAAAUGUCAGCUCAGUGGCUGGCAGAGACACAUGUUGGUCCUUACUCCCAGCGCCCUGAGAAUGGGGUCACAUUCUGCAGGAACCGCUUAGGAGAGGAUAUUGAAACACAAGAGGCAGGAAGGGAAUGGGGUAGGGUGCAGACUAGGACCCUGGGAGCCUGACAGUCUGUGAAUCACGCGACUAGACAGGUAGACUCCAGAUAGGUAAGUUUUAAGACUGAGGAAGGACUAGAGGCCAGAGACCUUGCAGGAGGGUAGUGGAAGGCAGUGGAGGAGGAAAGAUGCUACACUCUUGUCACUCUGGAUAGAGCAGGUCUGCAGAACCAUGGAGGCCACAGAAUAUCCUGGGGCAGAAGCAAGUUUGAGGCAGGGAGGAAAGAAAACAGGAAGAGCGUGAAGGGCGCUUCCUUGAGCCUGGCACACGUGCACAGACUGCUGGGCUGCAGCGAGCAGGACAGAUGGUCCUUCCCUUCGUGGUGCUGGAGGGAGGGAGGAAGCCAGAACCUGCCAUGUGACUGUGCACAUCUGGAGGCCUGGGGGAGACAAGGGAGGGAGAAGGGGAGGCAGUGGGAGGAAGAGGAGGGAGCCCCCUUUCUCCUGUCCUCAGGUGAAGGGGGCUGAGUCAUCAUCCCCGACACCCCAUCUUUUCUCACUUCCCUGGAGCCUGGGUGCGUGGUCUGACCAAGGGUAGGAACUCAGGGUUCCUGCUCUCCUCUGGGCCCCACAACACAGGGAAUAGGGCCCCUCUCUUCUCCACACUAAACAAGAUCGCUUCCUUUAACCUUUCUUGCACCUGUAUUGUCUGUGAUUCCUUUAGUGAGAAAACAAAUACCCUUGGGUCUGAUUCAGUCAUCACUGAGAACAGCUGGCUUGUCUCAUGUGCCUGGUCUCCAAAGCCUCGGCUCAGGGCUGUCUCUCUGAAUCCUAUUUCUCAUUAACUUGUAAGCUAGGCAGGAGCCCCUGGGGUAGGCACAUCAACUAUUUAGCAAUGAUCUCAAACAGCUGCAUCAGAACUUCUAGGGGUGGGGCCCAGGCACUACUCUGAAUAAAACUUUCUUAGGUGAUUCUAAGGUGCAGCCAGGGUUGAGAAUCAUUGGACGAAUGUGAUCUGGAGCUGUAUCUCUAGGAGCUCAAGGAUCAAGGAGGUGAGAGGCUGAUCUACUGUAAGCUGAAACAUUUUGAUCCAUGGCAGGGCCUCCAUCUGAAAGGGACAACAAUGAAACAUGUCCAGAGGAGGGCAAUAGGGGUGAAGAAAUCAUAUGAGCUGAGGGAAGUGGAGGGGAGGGGGUUCUUUUGCUUCUCAGGUGCUGGGGAAAGGCUGGGGACAAAGGUCGCAGACCCUCUGUCUCUGAGGGCUGGGAUGCGCACGCCCCAUGAGACCCAGUGCUUCCUGUGCUCUAAUGAGCACCACCUCAUUAGUGGUGAAAUAGUGUCACCAUAAUUACCUGGAGCUGGUGGAGCCAAAUGGCCAGGUCAUGAACACCCUCAGACACAAGUGCAGGGAAUUUAACUUGCCCUGAGGCACCUGCAUCUAGUGAGAUGCUGGUGAACGUGGCCCCAUUCCUGUGGUCAGGUGUGGUGGGUACAGGAUGCAGGGCUCAGCCCAAGGCCCAGCGCACACUCAGACGGCUGCUCCCACCCCACCCAGCAAGAGGCAGACGCACUCACCUCCAAGACUGGGGUCCCAGAACCACGAAGACCGCUAGCUCCUGGGGAACUGAGGCGGGGCCACCACAAGGUAGGUGAUGAAGGGGAAGGUGGUGCAGGGCGGGUGGGGGAGAAAGGGAGGCCCACAGGCCCUGUCUGCUGCUGAGUCGGGCUCCGUGGCGGAGUCCCUGAGAGCCUGGCUGGGGCGGCAGUUCCCAGCACCAUUUUUGCCCUGUCUAGAAUCCAUUUUGCUAGUGGCCCUAAGUGUUCUUCAUUUACAAGUUCUUGCUGCCACAGGGACUGGCUACAAAGGCAACCCAGGGGCUUCCCUGGUGGCGCAGUGGUUGAGA